UAGACACACAGAGAUCGAGUGAGAAAAAUAGAGAGAUGAAGCCGGAAAAAAGGUUUCAAUUUCUGUGAAUAGACCAAAUUAUUCUGAUUGAAUUGAUUCUGCACAAGAAGAAAGCUCAUACGGUCAUACCCAUUUGCUCUAUAAUGUGAUUGAUUCGCAAGCUCCCGCCUUUCAGGGUUUAUUGUGGAGGUAAGAAGGCAAGGAGAUGGAUUUUCAAAUGAAUAUCAAUCAACACUGCUAGCUAGAAUGUGUUAUUUUGAGGGUUUUAGAUCAAGCAUCUUUUUGUAAUUAUUUUUUGCUGCAAACUUUAUGUUUGUAUUGAAUAUUUAGCCUCUUUUGUAGGCUCAUCUAAUGAUAUUGAUGAUACAUGGUGGGUUA
This is a long non-coding RNA of Rosa rugosa (rugosa rose), 378 nucleotides long. RefSeq lists it as uncharacterized. NCBI's taxonomy places the organism in Eukaryota, Viridiplantae, Streptophyta, Magnoliopsida, Rosales, Rosaceae. The transcript has 4 exons. The record is from RefSeq and is a predicted model, not a curated record.